GCAUUAGUUAACUGUGCUUCAAUGUUUAACCACCCUGCUGUAUGUAUCCGGCACCUCUUUUUUUUUUUUUUUUUUUAGAGAUUUUAUUUAUUUAUUUGACAGAGAUAGAGACAGCCAGCGAGAGAGGGAACACAAGCAGGGGGAGUGGGAGAGGAAGAAGCAGGCUCAUAGCGGAGGAGCCUGAUGUGGGGCUCAUAGCGGAGGAGCCUGAUGUGGGGCUCAUAGCGGAGAAGCCUGAUGUGGGGCUCAUAGCGGAGGAGCCUGAUGUGGGGCUCGAUCCCAUAAUGCCGGGAUCAUGCCCUGAGCCGAAGGCAGACACUUAACUGCUGUGCCACCCAGGCGCCCCUAGAAUAUACUUUAGAAUAUACUUUAGGGGCGCCUGGGUGGCGCAGUCAGUUAAGCAUCUGCCCUUGGCUCAGGUCAUGAUCCCAGGGUCCUGGGAUGGAGGCUUGCAUCGCAUCGGGCUCCCUGCUCAGCGGGGAGCCUGCUUCUCCCUCUGCCCCUCCCUUUGCUCAUGCUCACAGGCGCUCUCUCUCAAAUGAAUAAAAUCUUUAAAAAAAAAAAAAGAAUAUACUUUAUAGAAGAGUUUUGAUAUCUUUCCUAAUUCUAAUUCUAAUUCUAAUUCUAAUCUAUUCUGACUUGUUUGCUACUGAUUAUUUUCCCCUUAUUAUGGGUCAUAUUUUCCAUGCCUGUUUGGCAAGUCUGAUAAUUUUUUAUUAGAUGUCAGACUUUGUGAAUUUAACUUGUUGUUUGCAAGAUAGUUUAUAUUCCUAUAAAUUUUAUUGAACUCUAUUCUGAGAUGCAGGUAAGUUACUUGGAAACAGUUUGAUCCUUUUAGAUGUUAUUGUUUAUUUAUUUAUUUAUUUAAUAUUUUUCCCCUUAGGUAGCACAGGAAUAGUAAUCAGUAUGAGGACAAUUAUUCUGUAUUACUGAGGCAAGGGUUCUCUUCAUAAAUACUUGUGAAUGAUAGAAUUUUUCAUUUCUCACUGUUAGAAGCAAACAUUAUUCCUAGCUAUAUGUGAGCACUGGAUACUACUACCACUAAUUCUUUGAGAGUGGUUCAUUCUCCUGAUUCAAGUAAUCUCACGUAUCUGCUGGCCCAGCCUCAGCUGAAUUCCAGACAGGGACCUUCUGCAGAUCUCUGAAUUUCUAUCUCUUUGUACUUUCUCUAAUAGUCUACAUGUGAACACUUACUAUCUUGCUGUCCCCAGACUCAGCUCUCUGUCCUCAACUUUGCCUGCAUUCUUGCUCACAGGAUUUGAAAUGUUUUCUAGGAAGUAAGUUAUUGGACUCAUAUCAUUUGUUUCCUGUCUCUCAGGGAUUACUUUCCCUUAUUGCCCGAUGUUCAUUGCCUUGACAAUUCUUAUCACUUAUAUUUAUCUACAGUUUGAUUUUUCAGGUAGUAGUACCUUGACCUGGUACUCCAACUUGACCAGAAUUAUAAAUCCUGUUCAAAUGUGUUUCGACUUAUCCUAAUUUAUAAUCAUUAAGGUGCUUGAGUCAGGAUUUAAAUGUGUUAUCCUGGCUGAAAGCUAAGUCUCUAUUUCUGAAUAUAAAUUUGCAUAAUUUAUAAGAAUUUAGCAUUAUACACUCAUAGCACUUAGCUAAACAACACACACACACACACACACACAUACACGCACCCCUAACUGUGUGUAUUGUGUAUAUAUGUAUAUUCUUCAACUUGAGUGAUAUAUUGCUAAUUUGAUUCACUCAUUCAUUUAUUCACAUAUUCAUUUACUUACUUUUUAAGUAUGUAUCAGCUACCUCCUUUGUGCUCACCAUGCUGAUGAACAUGAGGCAGACAGCAUGAAGAAACAGAAAGUUUUCUAUUGUUAGGGAUCUUAGUUUUAGAGCAAACUAGUCAAUAAAGUAAUACAUUUGUUCCACAGUAGUACACUGUGAAUCAGAUGAUAGUUAAACAUCCAUUGAAAAUGUAAUUUUAAAUUUAGAAAGAAGAUUCCAGAUAAUGGAAGUUUUAAAAUUUUAAUUCUGUGUGUGUUUUUAGAAACAGGCCUAAUUUUCCUAUAUAUAAUUCAAGGGGCUUGGAAUUGUUUUUAAUGUGCACAAAAGUUAGCUUAAUAUCUAAGAUAUUCCCUCUCCAUGCCACCUUUCCACAUACCCGCGUUCUUCUAAAAUUCUUUGGUUUUUUUUAUGCAUUUGAUGAUGCUUGAUUAAUACCAGUAUUUCUUAAGCCAGCUCUUUUCUCCCAAAGAUACAAUUUCAAGUUCAUAGUUCACAUUUUCUUUUUCUUUUAUUUCUUGUCAUUUGUUACAAGCAUGAAAUAAUAAAUUACUUUUGCUAAUUUUACUUCAUUUUAAAUUUUUUAAAAAAUAUUUUAUUUAUUUCACAGAGAGAGAGGGAGAGAGAGAGCACAAGCAGGGGGGGCAGUAGAGGGAGCUGCAGAGGAAGAGGGAGAAGCAGGCUCCCCACUAAGCAGGGAGCCUGGUGCAGGCCUCAGUCCCAGAACCCUGGGAUCAUGACCUGAGCUGAAGGCAGACAUUUAACUGACUGAGCCACCCAGCCACAGCCAUUUUAUUUUUUAAUUAUUUUUAGAAAUGUAUUAUUUCUUUUUUCCUAUGCUAUAAAGUAUGAGUAAUACAGAAUAUAUAAAAUAUGAAUAAAACAAUAUUUUCCUUAACUACUAUCAUGGCAUUGAUUAUUUAUAUACAUUAAAGUUUCUGUAAGAAAACAGAACAAGGAAUAAAAAUCAAAACCUCUGUAUACAAAGAAUUUCUAAUAUUUUUUCUUUAAUUGUAACAUUAUAAACACUCUUACGUAUUUCUACAUAAUUUAGAUAAGAUGUAGUUACUUUGAUUGCAUAAAGUAUGAUUAAAAUACCCAUACAAAUUAUCAAUUUCUGAAAUUUUAAACAAAUGUAUUUUAAUUUUCUUUAAUUUCAAGGUUACCAUGUAAAUACCAAAUUAAAAUCCAUACUUGAAA
Ursus thibetanus thibetanus is the source of this 2943-nucleotide long non-coding RNA. The record is from Ensembl. NCBI's taxonomy places the organism in Eukaryota, Metazoa, Chordata, Mammalia, Carnivora, Ursidae.